UGGUUAUGACAUUGGCUUGAAACCAAUUUUAGGGGGUUCGAUUCCUUCCUUUCUUA
RNAcentral lists this transfer RNA (56 nucleotides) under Canis lupus (wolf). RNAcentral describes it as "partial tRNA-Ser". Lineage: Eukaryota; Metazoa; Chordata; Mammalia; Carnivora; Canidae. The record is from RNAcentral.